AAAAAUUAAGAGUGUAACUACCUAACUUUGUGACAUACCUGUUGCUUCGGCGGUCCUCACCGGCCGCCGAAGGCCUAUAUUCUUGAAUUUACAUGAAUUUCUGAGUAUCAAACAAAAAAUAAAUAAAAACCUUUCAGCAACGGAAAUCUCUUGGCUCUGGCAUCGAUGAAGAACGCAGCGAAAUGCGAUAAGUAAUGUGAAUUGCAGAAUUCAGUGAAUCAUCGAAUCUUUGAACGCACAUUGCGCCCACCAGUACUCUGGUGGGCAUGCCUGUCCGAGCGUCAUUUCAACCCUCAGGGCCCGUUCGCGGGACCUGGUGUUGGGGAUCGGCCCCACCGGCCGGCCCCGAAAUACAGUGGCGGCACACCCGCGACCUCCUCUGCGUAGUAGCAAUGCCUCGCAGCUGGAUAGCGGUUGCGCCUCGCCGUAAAACCCCCCACUUCUCAAAGGUUGACCUCGGAUCAGGUAGGAAUACCCGCUGAACUUAAGCAUAUCAAUAAGCCGGGAGGAAAACCGGGGGG
RNAcentral lists this ribosomal RNA (521 nucleotides) under Waltergamsia fusidioides. RNAcentral's name for it is "eukaryotic LSU rRNA". The stretch from base 129 to 284 matches the Rfam family "5.8S ribosomal RNA". The record is from RNAcentral. Lineage: Eukaryota; Fungi; Ascomycota; Sordariomycetes; Hypocreales; Bionectriaceae.